GCGGGAUUAGUUAAAUGGUAUAACUGCGCUUUUCCAAAGCGCAAUCAGGAGUUCGAUUCUCCUAUCCCGCA
This 71-nucleotide transfer RNA is filed under the name Candidatus Nomurabacteria bacterium RIFCSPLOWO2_01_FULL_40_18. RNAcentral's name for it is "tRNA-Gly". It matches the Rfam family "tRNA". From Rfam's summary of the family: Transfer RNA (tRNA) molecules are approximately 80 nucleotides in length. Their secondary structure includes four short double-helical elements and three loops (D, anti-codon, and T loops). Lineage: Bacteria; Candidatus Nomuraibacteriota. The record is from RNAcentral.